CCUGGUGAUGGCCUCAUGCCAGCAAGUCAAAUGAGAUUUCAAUUGCAGGACCAACUAGAAAAAAUUCUGCCUGAUCAAUAGACAUUCACAGAGUUAUUAGGAAUCAGCAAGAGGGAACUGGAAUACAAAGACCUGGCUGAGCUCAACAACCACACCUACUGCUCUGUCUCAGAGCAGUCCAAACUUCUCAGGGCUGUGGGUGGAUGUGGGUUUUGGGGCACAAAAACACACAUUGCUGUGGUCUGUAAGGUCAGACCCAUAGGUCAUGUCAGGCAUGUAACCCAGACACUCUCACAGCUUGUGGCCAGGGCAUCCAGCAAGUUUCUGAGGGCUGCCAUAAGCCUAAAACAUGUACAAUUAGGCUAUUGUUUUGUUUAGCUUCAUUGCCACAUUGUGCAUGCUCAAUGUGCAUACGACCAAGCUGUGAAAACAGCAACCAAACACAGGAAUACUCUGAGAUCUUAUCAGCAGCGGACUGGGAUUUACUUCGGUCAGGCUAUCGUCCUCAGUUUUAAACUGAAACGGGGAGCAUAGCGUGGUCAUUUUACUGAUUGGAUUAGAGAAAGCUUGAGCUGGCUGAUCUGUGUGAUGACAUUAUUGAGUUGCAUUUGCGGCUAUGACAGAAACAAAGGAUUUUUUAUUGGAUUAUUGCGGCCACAAGGAGAAGAGGGGAAAGAAGAGGUAACACAGAGACAGCAGAAGUCAAACCGUGUGGAGGAGAAUCCUGUAUGGAAUGGUUCUACAGAAUAACAUCAGCGACAUUUUGCAUCUGAUUUGCUGUGGUGUGUUUCGUCCUGCUAACUGGUCAGUAAAAAUUCAGAGCUGUGACUACUCCCAGUGCUGAGCUCCAUCAGCAGAGUUUUAUUCCCAGAACACACACUAAUUGUUUUAUCAGCUCUUCUGUGGCUCUGGUAAGAGAACUGAAGGACAGCUGACUGGGGGCUUGGAAUCGGAGCCCCACCAAAGACUUUCACCCUCUUCCCUUUGCCACGUGUCAUGAUUUCACCAAACAGUUCUUUUAAGAUGAAGAGUUCCCAUGUGACAGCUCAAACUAACUCAGCACGACAGAAGAUGCAGAAGGGAACGUAUCUUGUGUGGAUCAUCAGCGCCAUUGAAACCUUAAACGAAACCAACCAACAAAUAAACAAGCUGUAAUUUUAUCAGGUGGAAACAGAAAUCAGUGGUGCUAUUAAGUCUGCAGCAGCUGGGAAUCUGUUCUUUAAAUAAAUGCCACAAAACCACUGCUACAACUGGAGCGUUUCUCAGCUCAGAAGGCAGAGUGGGCCCCAUGCCCAAGGAAAGAUAUCAACACUGUACAUUUUUGGAAACAUCAUUUCCAUGCUGUGAAAUUGCCCAUGUGCUAGACUUGUAUGGAUUUCAAUGGGAAUGCACACCAUCAAACUGCAUGGCAACCAGCCCAUAAAGAGCUUUGAAGUGGAUACGAGAGGUAGUAUCAAAAUCACAGUGAAAAUUGGACCAGUGGCUAAUGGUACAGCCUAAAUUGGUCCCGUAAUUCAUUUACAAUACUGUCAAAAUAAGUCUACAGCUGAAGGGAUCUCAAGUGUCAUUGUCAGCUGCGCAGUUUUCUUCGAAGAAGGAAAUACAACGGGAAAAAAUGUGUCUUGUGGACAAUUCAGUGCUGAGGGGAAAAGACGCACAAAAAAUUGCUUCAUUAAAGUUUUGAAGCUGACACCUCAUGCAACAAAAGUCCAUACAAAACACAGAGCUCUCUCUUUUGAAAGGCACAGCAUCCAUAUGCAGCGAUGGCAUAUUCAUCAAAAUUCCCUCAACAGCUCUAUUUUCUCCAGCACUGAACACCAUCUGUGUAUAUCCUAUGCGUUUUUCUGACUUUCACAGACAAUGAGCACAUUAUAUAUAUAGACAUCCUCAGCUCUGCUGAAGAAUGGGCCCUCGCUGUUGCUCAGGGUGACCCCAAGUCAGAAGUACCCAGACGAACACGGCAGCUUCCCGCUGGAGGGCAGUGCCUCCAACAACAGGGCGCAGGCCAGCAGACAGCCAUACGGUGCCCAUGCCAGAUCCCACACUGUGCUAACUGGGAAGGCUCCCGUUGGCCCAGCGGGCGGUGGAUGAGGCCUUCAAGGACACUGCUGAUGGGAUCAGGUCCCUACCACAAAGGAUGCCAGUGAUGAGGCCAGCAAAGAGCAGCAGGACAAAGUCUGAUGAGAACAAUGUGGACUGAAUGUAGGUGGGACUUUCCCACAGGUGAGGUGUAAUUGACUGUGUGCUAGCAGAGGCUUAUUGCUUGGUCCUUGGAGAGACGUGUGGAAAAAAACACUGGGAUACUCCCGCAGGGAACACUUCUGCGUGGGUUUCAUACAGGUUUUAAUUCCUCGGGGAUGAAUUCCCAACUUAAAUAUUAUUUUAUUAAUUAAAUGCUUAUGAUUUUA
Long non-coding RNA from Numida meleagris (helmeted guineafowl), 2408 nucleotides. RefSeq lists it as uncharacterized. The transcript has 2 exons. The record is from RefSeq and is a predicted model, not a curated record. Lineage: Eukaryota; Metazoa; Chordata; Aves; Galliformes; Numididae.